This 573-nucleotide ribosomal RNA is filed under the name Polyporales sp. PB12. RNAcentral's name for it is "eukaryotic LSU rRNA". It matches the Rfam family "Eukaryotic large subunit ribosomal RNA", at positions 77 to 633 of the family's 3401-position model. Lineage: Eukaryota; Fungi; Basidiomycota; Agaricomycetes; Polyporales. The record is from RNAcentral.
CCCCUAGUAACUGCGAGUGAAGCGGGAAAAGCUCAAAUUUAAAAUCUGGCAGUCUUUGGCUGUCCGAGUUGUAGUCUGGAGAAGUGUUUUCCGCGCUGGACCGUGUAUAAGUCCCUUGGAAUAGGGCGUCAUAGAGGGUGAGAAUCCCGUCUUUGACACGGACUACCAGUGCUUUGUGAUGCGCUCUCAAAGAGUCGAGUUGUUUGGGAAUGCAGCUCAAAAUGGGUGGUAAAUUCCAUCUAAAGCUAAAUAUUGGCGAGAGACCGAUAGCGAACAAGUACCGUGAGGGAAAGAUGAAAAGCACUUUGGAAAGAGAGUUAAACAGUACGUGAAAUUGCUGAAAGGGAAACGCUUGAAGUCAGUCGCGUUAUGCAGAACUCAGCCUGGCUUUUGCUUGGUGUAUUUUCUGUAUGACGGGCCAGCAUCAAUUUUGGCCGCUGGAAAAAGGCUCUAGAAAUGUGGCACCUCCGGGUGUGUUAUAGUCUAGGGUCAUAUACAGCGGCUGGGAUUGAGGUCUGCAGCACGCCUUUAUGGCUGGGGUUCGCCCACAUUCGUGCUUAGGAUGCUGGCGUA